GGUUUCAGUCCUGAAGCGCCAUCAUUUUCUGCCUCCUUUACUGUUGGACUGGUUGUUAGACUUUCAGUGAUUGUUUUCCUGCAGCUGCUGCUGUUGUGUGUUUGGAGAAACAUGAAAGCACACAGAAGUGUGAGCACUGAUAAAAGCUCUGCUACACAGCAAACAGUCAACCAGCUUGAACCUCAGCUUUACUCCUCUCUGCUCCACGGCGAUGUUUGUGUCUAUGAAUCAGUCGAAGGCUCUGGAAACAAUGAUGGUGGUACAGUAUAAUAUCUGAUUAAUGCAGAGAUUAUAUGACACUAAAUACUAAAACAGAUGUGACUUGAUGAUUUCAGAGGAACCAACAGAUGAACCCAGUAAAACCACAGUGCUGCUUCAUA
Betta splendens (Siamese fighting fish) is the source of this 380-nucleotide long non-coding RNA. RefSeq lists it as uncharacterized. The record is from RefSeq and is a predicted model, not a curated record. The transcript has 3 exons. Lineage: Eukaryota; Metazoa; Chordata; Actinopteri; Anabantiformes; Osphronemidae.